UACGUAGGGCGCAAGCGUUGUCCGGAAUCAUUGGGCGUAAAGAGCUCGUAGGCGGCCUGUUGCGUCCGCUGUGAAAUCCCGGGGCUCAACCCCGAGCGGUCGUGAGAAACUGGCGGGCUAGAGUGCGGGAGAGGAGAGUGGAAUUCCUGGUGUAGCGGUGAAAUGCGCAGAUAUCAGGAAGAACACCCGUGGCGAAGGCGGCUCUCUGGAACGCAACUGACGCUGAGACGCGAAAGCGUGGGGAGCAAACAGG
RNAcentral lists this ribosomal RNA (253 nucleotides) under uncultured bacterium. RNAcentral's name for it is "partial 16S ribosomal RNA". It matches the Rfam family "Bacterial small subunit ribosomal RNA", at positions 524 to 776 of the family's 1533-position model. The record is from RNAcentral.